GGGGGGGGUAACCAACUAUGUGUUAUUACAAAAGCCUCCUCUCCUGACUGAAUAAGGACCUGCAAGCUGAAUGUGUUCCUCAGACAGAAUGCUUUGUUUAUAACAGGGGAAUGAAUGGAGGCAGGCAGAAAGAAGCUCUGUUCCUACUGCCAUGUGAUCUUACACACUGUGUGGAGACUCUAUGGCAGAAUUAUGGUGGAUAUCAGGAGGAGGUGGAGAGGAAAGGUAGGGAUAUCAGGAGGAGGUUGAAAGGAAAGGUGGUGAUAUCAGGAGGAGGUUGAAAGGAAAGGUGGUGAUAUCAGGAGGAGGUUGAAAGGAAAGGUGGGGAUAUCAGGAGGAGGUUGAAAGGAAAGGUGGGGAUAUCAGGAGGAGGUUGAAAGGAAAGGUGGUGAUAUCAGGAGGAGGUUGAAAGGAAAGGUGGUGAUAUCAG
Long non-coding RNA from Oncorhynchus tshawytscha (Chinook salmon), 430 nucleotides. Lineage: Eukaryota; Metazoa; Chordata; Actinopteri; Salmoniformes; Salmonidae. The record is from Ensembl.